AUUGAACGCUGGCGGCAGGCCUAACACAUGCAAGUCGAGCGGAUGAAGGGAGCUUGCUCCUGGAUUCAGCGGCGGACGGGUGAGUAAUGCCUAGGAAUCUGCCUGGUAGUGGGGGAUAACGUCCGGAAACGGGCGCUAAUACCGCAUACGUCCUGAGGGAGAACGGGGGGGAUCUUCGGACCUCACGCUAUCAGAUGAGCCUAGGUCGGAUUAGCUAGUGGGUGGGGUAAAGGCCUACCAAGGCGACGAUCCGAACUGGUCUGGGAGGAUGAUCAGUCACACUGGAACUGAGACACGGUCCAGACUCCUACGGGAGGCAGCAGUGGGGAAUAUUGGACAAUGGGCGAAAGCCUGAUCCAGCCAUGCCGCGUGUGUGAAGAAGGUCUUCGGAUUGUAAAGCACUUUAAGUUGGGAGGAAGGGCAGUAAGUUAAUACCUUGCUGUUUUGACGUUACCAACAGAAUAAGCACCGGCUAACUUCGUG
RNAcentral lists this ribosomal RNA (483 nucleotides) under uncultured bacterium. Its description in RNAcentral is "partial 16S ribosomal RNA". It matches the Rfam family "Bacterial small subunit ribosomal RNA", at positions 30 to 507 of the family's 1533-position model. The record is from RNAcentral.